GACGAACGCUGGCGGCGUGCCUAAUACAUGCAAGUUGAGCGCUGAAGGUUGGUACUUGUACCAACUGGAUGAGCAGCGAACGGGUGAGUAACGCGUGGGGAAUCUGCCUUUGAGCGGGGGACAACAUUUGGAAACGAAUGCUAAUACCGCAUAAAAACUUUAAACACAAGUUUUAAGUUUGAAAGAUGCAAUUGCAUCACUCAAAGAUGAUCCCGCGUUGUAUUAGUUAGUUGGUGAGGUAAAGGCUCACCAAGGCGAUGAUACAUAGCCGACCUGAGAGGGUGAUCGGCCACAUUGGGACUGAGACACGGCCCAAACUCCUACGGGAGGCAGCAGUAGGGAAUCUUCGGCAAUAGACGAAAGUCUGACCGAGCAACGCCGCGUGAGUGAAGAAGGUUUUCGGAUCGUAAAACUCUGUUGGUAGAGAAGAACGUUGGUGAGAGUGGAAAGCUCAUCAAGUGACGGUAACUACCCAGAAAGGGACGGCUAACUACGUG
This 497-nucleotide ribosomal RNA is filed under the name uncultured bacterium. RNAcentral's name for it is "partial 16S ribosomal RNA". It matches the Rfam family "Bacterial small subunit ribosomal RNA", at positions 28 to 507 of the family's 1533-position model. The record is from RNAcentral.